This 72-nucleotide transfer RNA is filed under the name Capra hircus (goat). It matches the Rfam family "tRNA". From Rfam's summary of the family: Transfer RNA (tRNA) molecules are approximately 80 nucleotides in length. Their secondary structure includes four short double-helical elements and three loops (D, anti-codon, and T loops). The record is from Rfam by way of RNAcentral. Lineage: Eukaryota; Metazoa; Chordata; Mammalia; Artiodactyla; Bovidae. RNAcentral also lists the same sequence under 1 other name.
UCCUUGGCAGUCCAGUGGUUAGGACAUGGCACUUUCACUGCAGGGGCCCAGGUUCAAUCCCUAGUCAGGGAA